Molecule: ribosomal RNA, 400 nt
Filed under: phytoplankton environmental sample
Lineage: Eukaryota
Description: partial small subunit ribosomal RNA
Rfam family: Eukaryotic small subunit ribosomal RNA
Source: RNAcentral
AGCUCCAAUAGCGUAUAUUAAAGUUGUUGCGGUUAAAAAGCUCGUAGUUGGAUCUCGGCAGGCAGGGGGUGGUUCAUUAUCUGAUGUUACUGCCCCAUUGUCUGUGUUUGUGGUGGAGGUCUGGGGGUGUUCUUUACCGAGUGUCCUCAGGCGCCACCAACUUUACUUUGAAAAAAUUAGAGUGCUCAAAGCAGGCUAUCACGCUUGAAUAUUCGUGCAUGGAAUAAUGGAAUAGGAAGUCGUUUCUAUUUUGUUGGUUUUCGGAAAUUGACUUAAUGAUUAAUAGGGACAGCCGGGGGCAUUAGUAUUCGGACGACAGAGGUGAAAUUCUUGGACCGUCUGAAGACUAACUACUGCGAAAGCAUUUGCCAAGAGUGUUUUCAUUAAUCAAGAACGAAAG